CUUCUCCUUAUCUCAUCUUUUUGGUUGCACCAGAUAGAAAGUCCAGCCGUCUUUCUCUACUCCUUUUUCUUUAUUUUGUUUUUCUUCUCUCUUUGCUCUUACACAGCAGCAUUCCCUCUCUCACCAAAACAAAAUAUCCCUCUCUAAAGAAGAAAUUAAAAGGUUAACACUAAAAUUUCAGCUUCAAAGUUUGGGGGUGUUACCAGUUCCCCGGGUCUAAGCUCCUUCGACUGUAGGCUCUCGGUUACUCUACUUUCAGUUAGCAGGUUUUAUGUUGGAGUAGAGGGAGCCUUAGUCGAGUUUUGGAAUGAGCUAAUUUUAGUUUUAUAUGUAUAGAUCCUAAACUAGCAAUUUGAUGUUUAGAUUUGUAGUAUGGUGUAUUUUAAGAUAUAAUGAAAGUGUGUACCUUAAAGUAUUAAGAGAUGUAUUAUGUGAAAUUUAGAAUUUGAAUAAUUGGUGGAUUGUGUUAUCCUUUGAGGUACAAUGUAGAUGCUCUAAAUAUCAAGUGGAAAGUUAUAUCAUUUAAGUAAAGAAACAAGAAUGAAAAGAAAGAGGGAAGCUUUUGUAAAGGUUUUGGAAAAAGUUA
Molecule: long non-coding RNA, 586 nt
Organism: Quercus lobata
Lineage: Eukaryota; Viridiplantae; Streptophyta; Magnoliopsida; Fagales; Fagaceae
Exons: 3
Source: RefSeq, a predicted model, not a curated record